UACGAAGGGGGCUAGCGUUGUUCGGAAUUACUGGGCGUAAAGCGCACGUAGGCGGAUAUUUAAGUCGGGGGUGAAAUCCCGGGGCUCAACCCCGGAACUGCCUUCGAUACUGGGUAUCUUGAGUUCGGAAGAGGUGAGUGGAAUUGCGAGUGUAGAGGUGAAAUUCGUAGAUAUUCGCAGGAACACCAGUGGCGAAGGCGGCUCACUGGUCCGAUACUGACGCUGAGGUGCGAAAGCCAGGGGAGCGGAACGGG
RNAcentral lists this ribosomal RNA (254 nucleotides) under uncultured bacterium. Its description in RNAcentral is "partial 16S ribosomal RNA". It matches the Rfam family "Bacterial small subunit ribosomal RNA", at positions 524 to 776 of the family's 1533-position model. The record is from RNAcentral.